GGCUCAGCCAGGCUGUGUCCUCGCUGUGGGGCUCCACGGGGCACAAACCCACAGCUCUGGUCCCAGUGACACCUCCCGCCCGGGGGUGCCGAAUGCUGCCGGAGCCAGGAUGAGCAGGUUAAAAAAGAAAAAUGUCGAGCCUCACAGCACUCGGCACACUUCCCUUGCGCACUGUGAAGGUGGUUCCUCCUGCCCUCAUGGGUCCUUUCGAAAUGAGAAGGUGAGCCUGCGAGCAUGGGACCAGCUCUGUGCCUCAGCCUGAAGGUCCUUCUCACACGGCGGGUCGUGUCUGAGACCCGAGUCCUGGCUCACACUAAUCUAUGUUCAUCUCUGGCUCCAUCUCAGGGUUUGCAACAUGAGCAUAUUAAAAUGUUUUUAGAGCCCAA
Long non-coding RNA from Falco peregrinus (peregrine falcon), 386 nucleotides. RefSeq lists it as uncharacterized. The record is from RefSeq and is a predicted model, not a curated record. NCBI's taxonomy places the organism in Eukaryota, Metazoa, Chordata, Aves, Falconiformes, Falconidae. The transcript has 2 exons.